RNAcentral lists this ribosomal RNA (478 nucleotides) under uncultured bacterium. Its description in RNAcentral is "bacterial SSU rRNA". It matches the Rfam family "Bacterial small subunit ribosomal RNA", at positions 23 to 518 of the family's 1533-position model. The record is from RNAcentral.
CUCAGGACGAACGCUGGCGGCGUGCCUAACACAUGCAAGUCGAGCGAGGAGAUCCUUCGGGAUGAUCCUAGCGGCGGACGGGUGAGUAACACGUGGGCAACCUGCCUCAUAGAGAGGAAUAGCCUUCCGAAAGGGAGAUUAAUACCUCAUAACAUUGCAGUUUCGCAUGGAACAGCAAUUAAAGGAGUAAUCCGCUAUGAGAUGGGCCCGCGGCGCAUUAGCUAGUUGGUGAGGUAACGGCUCACCAAGGCGACGAUGCGUAGCCGACCUGAGAGGGUGAUCGGCCACAUUGGGACUGAGACACGGCCCAGACUCCUACGGGAGGCAGCAGUGGGGAAUAUUGCACAAUGGGGGAAACCCUGAUGCAAGCAACGCCGCGUGAGUGAUGACGGCCUUCGGGUUGUAAAGCUCUGUCUUCAGGAACGAUAAUGACGGUACCUGAGGAGGAAGCCACGGCUAACUACGUGCCAGCAGCGGC